GGGAAAUGAGCAAAUGCAAAUUUCUCAUGAUUCAAGUUUAAAAGAAAUUAUCAAGCAUUCCGUAAACUUUUUGAGCAAAUUAUUUGUUGCUUACAUUGAGCUCCUUUUCUAAAGAGCAAAGCAGUCAAAGAUACAGAUGUUAAGAGAAAAGGAGAAUUUUAAUGACCUGAAGGUUAAAUCAACAAGUAAAUUGUACAGGCUCAUGCGACAUAUAAGAUCCCAAGAGGGAACUCAAAGAAAGCAGGGUUCAAAAAGAAAGCAAGGUAGAAAGGAAGCACAAAGAAGAGGGUCUUACAACAAUAGAGGCCACACCUCAGCUAAUUAGGAGCACAAUGCAUCACAUUUUAUCAUUAUGUAAAUAAAAUACAUGUAACUAUUGUGUAAAACUUUGCUUCUUAUCAAAUUUUUGUU
Molecule: long non-coding RNA, 411 nt
Filed under: Capsicum annuum
Lineage: Eukaryota; Viridiplantae; Streptophyta; Magnoliopsida; Solanales; Solanaceae
Description: long non-coding RNA (CANN_LNC011796)
Source: RNAcentral